RNAcentral lists this ribosomal RNA (107 nucleotides) under Pseudomonas aeruginosa. RNAcentral's name for it is "partial 23S ribosomal RNA". It matches the Rfam family "Bacterial large subunit ribosomal RNA", at positions 2808 to 2925 of the family's 2925-position model. The record is from RNAcentral. Lineage: Bacteria; Pseudomonadati; Pseudomonadota; Gammaproteobacteria; Pseudomonadales; Pseudomonadaceae.
UGAUUCCCCUGAAGGGCCGUCGAAGACUACGACGUUGAUAGGCUGGGUGUGUAAGCGUUGUAAGGCGUUGAGCUAACCAGUACUAAUUGCCCGUGAGGCUUGACCAU